GUGUGAACUGCUUCUCACAAAGUUGGCAUGGAAAUGGCUUGACUUCAUCAUGCUUCAAACGAUGACGUCGCAAGUCAGUUCCUGUCACGAGCUGUUGUGAGAGGCCGGCAAGGCAGGCCGCGUCACUUAGCCGGGUCCUGCCUCACCGCUGAAACUCGUCCACUCUUGCUCACACCCUCGAUGAUGGAUGCUGCCUCCAGUGCAACCCUGUGUACAUUAAGUCCAGUUGGCCCGAGUCGCCAAGUGACACCAGUACCCACCUCUGCCAGCCAUGAUUUAUAUUUUGUAUGGUCUCCUUUAUAUGCUGCCACUAUUCUUAAUUUAUUAUUGUUAAUACAUUUUUUUUGCACUUA
Molecule: long non-coding RNA, 353 nt
Filed under: Homarus americanus (American lobster)
Lineage: Eukaryota; Metazoa; Arthropoda; Malacostraca; Decapoda; Nephropidae
Description: uncharacterized LOC121854700, transcript variant X2
Source: RNAcentral